GGGCCCGCACAAGCGGUGGAGCAUGUGGUUUAAUUCGAAGCAACGCGAAGAACCUUACCAGGUCUUGACAUCCUUUGAAGCUUUUAGAGAUAGAAGUGUUCUCUUCGGAGACAAAGUGACAGGUGGUGCAUGGUCGUCGUCAGCUCGUGUCGUGAGAUGUUGGGUUAAGUCCCGCAACGAGCGCAACCCUUAUUGUUAGUUGCCAUCAUUCAGUUGGGCACUCUAGCAAGACUGCCGGUGACAAACCGGAGGAAGGUGGGG
This 261-nucleotide ribosomal RNA is filed under the name uncultured prokaryote. Its description in RNAcentral is "partial 16S ribosomal RNA". It matches the Rfam family "Bacterial small subunit ribosomal RNA", at positions 917 to 1178 of the family's 1533-position model. The record is from RNAcentral.